Molecule: ribosomal RNA, 523 nt
Filed under: uncultured bacterium
Lineage: Bacteria
Description: bacterial SSU rRNA
Rfam family: Bacterial small subunit ribosomal RNA
Source: RNAcentral
AUUGAACGCUGGCGGCAUGCUUUACACAUGCAAGUCGAACGGCAGCGGGGGCUUCGGCCUGCCGGCGAGUGGCGAACGGGUGAGUAAUGCAUCGGAACGUGCCCAUGUCGUGGGGGAUAACGUAUCGAAAGGUACGCUAAUACCGCAUACGUCCUGAGGGAGAAAGCGGGGGAUCUUCGGACCUCGCGCGAUUGGAGCGGCCGAUGUCGGAUUAGCUAGUAGGUGAGGUAAAGGCUCACCUAGGCGACGAUCCGUAGCGGGUCUGAGAGGAUGAUCCGCCACACUGGGACUGAGACACGGCCCAGACUCCUACGGGAGGCAGCAGUGGGGAAUUUUGGACAAUGGGCGCAAGCCUGAUCCAGCCAUGCCGCGUGAGUGAAGAAGGCCUUCGGGUUGUAAAGCUCUUUCGGCCGGGAAGAAAUCGGCGACUCUAACAUAGUCGCUGGAUGACGGUACCGGACUAAGAAGCACCGGCUAACUACGUGCCAGCAGCCGCGGUAAUACGUAGGGUGCGAGCGUUAAU